Molecule: ribosomal RNA, 1137 nt
Filed under: Escherichia coli
Lineage: Bacteria; Pseudomonadati; Pseudomonadota; Gammaproteobacteria; Enterobacterales; Enterobacteriaceae
Description: partial 23S ribosomal RNA
Rfam family: Bacterial large subunit ribosomal RNA
Source: RNAcentral
CCUUUUGUAUAAUGGGUCAGCGACUUAUAUUCUGUAGCAAGGUUAACCGAAUAGGGGAGCCGAAGGGAAACCGAGUCUUAACUGGGCGUUAAGUUGCAGGGUAUAGACCCGAAACCCGGUGAUCUAGCCAUGGGCAGGUUGAAGGUUGGGUAACACUAACUGGAGGACCGAACCGACUAAUGUUGAAAAAUUAGCGGAUGACUUGUGGCUGGGGGUGAAAGGCCAAUCAAACCGGGAGAUAGCUGGUUCUCCCCGAAAGCUAUUUAGGUAGCGCCUCGUGAAUUCAUCUCCGGGGGUAGAGCACUGUUUCGGCAAGGGGGUCAUCCCGACUUACCAACCCGAUGCAAACUGCGAAUACCGGAGAAUGUUAUCACGGGAGACACACGGCGGGUGCUAACGUCCGUCGUGAAGAGGGAAACAACCCAGACCGCCAGCUAAGGUCCCAAAGUCAUGGUUAAGUGGGAAACGAUGUGGGAAGGCCCAGACAGCCAGGAUGUUGGCUUAGAAGCAGCCAUCAUUUAAAGAAAGCGUAAUAGCUCACUGGUCGAGUCGGCCUGCGCGGAAGAUGUAACGGGGCUAAACCAUGCACCGAAGCUGCGGCAGCGACACUAUGUGUUGUUGGGUAGGGGAGCGUUCUGUAAGCCUGUGAAGGUGUACUGUGAGGUAUGCUGGAGGUAUCAGAAGUGCGAAUGCUGACAUAAGUAACGAUAAAGCGGGUGAAAAGCCCGCUCGCCGGAAGACCAAGGGUUCCUGUCCAACGUUAAUCGGGGCAGGGUGAGUCGACCCCUAAGGCGAGGCCGAAAGGCGUAGUCGAUGGGAAACAGGUUAAUAUUCCUGUACUUGGUGUUACUGCGAAGGGGGGACGGAGAAGGCUAUGUUGGCCGGGCGACGGUUGUCCCGGUUUAAGCGUGUAGGCUGGUUUUCCAGGCAAAUCCGGAAAAUCAAGGCUGAGGCGUGAUGACGAGGCACUACGGUGCUGAAGCAACAAAUGCCCUGCUUCCAGGAAAAGCCUCUAAGCAUCAGGUAACAUCAAAUCGUACCCCAAACCGACACAGGUGGUCAGGUAGAGAAUACCAAGGCGCUUGAGAGAACUCGGGUGAAGGAACUAGGCAAAAUGGUGCCGUAACUUCGGGAGAA